This is a non-coding RNA of Hordeum vulgare subsp. vulgare (domesticated barley), 124 nucleotides long. NCBI's taxonomy places the organism in Eukaryota, Viridiplantae, Streptophyta, Magnoliopsida, Poales, Poaceae. The record is from Rfam.
UAAAUACUCCCUCCGUCCGGAAUUAUUUGUCACAAAAAUGAUAGAAAUGGAUGUAUCUAGAACUANNAUACAUCUAGAUACAUCCAUUCUUUGAACAAGUAUUUUCGGACGGAGGGAGUAUAAG